UAGAUGCGAGAGUAGAGCAUAUCAAUAAGCGGAGGAAAAGAAACUAACAAGGAUUCCCUUAGUAACGGCGAGUGAAGCGGGAAGAGCUCAAAUUUGAAAUCUUCAAGGUUCUACCUUGACGAAUUGUAGUUUAAAGAGGUGUUUUCUGUUAGAUGAGUAGCAAAAGUUCCUUGGAAUGGGACAUCAUAGAGGGUGAGAAUCCCGUAUUUGGUUAUUCAUUCUAGCUUUGUGAUACACUUUCAAAGAGUCGGAUUGUUUGGGAAUGCAGUCCAAAAUGGGUGGUAAAUUUCAUCUAAAGCUAAAUAUUGGCGAGAGACCGAUAGCGAACAAGUACCGUGAGGGAAAGAUGAAAAGAACUUUGAAAAGAGAGUUAAACAGUACGUGAAAUUGUCAAAAGGGAAGCGUUUGACACCAGUGUUGUUUUUCCGAAAAUCAAUUACGAAUGGCUUGAUUUUGUGUUGUAUUGACCUUAUCAGCUUUCUGCACUUUUUUUCGAGUCUUUCUUAAUGCACUUUUCGGUUAACAAGUCAACAUCAAUUUCUUUUGUUGUAAAAGAGUAUUCGGAAGGUGGCUUUCUUUUCGGAGAAAGUGUUUAUAGCCCUAUACUUCUACAAUCGGAGAGAUUGAGGUCUGCAGCGUAGAUCCUUCGGGGUUAGAUACACUUGUGCUAAGUUGUAGCUUUUCAUAGACAACUUGUUGACUAUGUUUAGUCAUGCGGCUUACUCGCUUAGUGCUAUUUUACCUACGCUUAGGAUGUUGAGCGCAUGUCUCUCUCU
RNAcentral lists this ribosomal RNA (776 nucleotides) under uncultured Neocallimastigales. RNAcentral's name for it is "partial large subunit ribosomal RNA". It matches the Rfam family "Eukaryotic large subunit ribosomal RNA", at positions 22 to 616 of the family's 3401-position model. The record is from RNAcentral. Lineage: Eukaryota; Fungi; Neocallimastigomycota; Neocallimastigomycetes; Neocallimastigales.